UACGAAGGGGGCUAGCGUUGUUCGGAAUUACUGGGCGUAAAGGGCGCGUAGGCGGCUUUCUAAGUCAGGGGUGAAAUCCUGGAGCUCAACUCCAGAACUGCCUUUGAUACUGGAGAGCUUGAGUCCGGAAGAGGUGAGUGGAACUCCGAGUGUAGAGGUGAAAUUCGUAGAUAUUCGGAAGAACACCAGUGGCGAAGGCGGCUCACUGGUCCGGUACUGACGCUGAGGUGCGAAAGCGUGGGGAGCAAACAGG
RNAcentral lists this ribosomal RNA (253 nucleotides) under uncultured bacterium. Its description in RNAcentral is "partial 16S ribosomal RNA". It matches the Rfam family "Bacterial small subunit ribosomal RNA", at positions 524 to 776 of the family's 1533-position model. The record is from RNAcentral.